CCUCUCUCUGAUGACCUAAAGAUGGAAUUUUCCUGCAGGCUUUAACAUAAACCCGGUCAGUGUGCACGAUCUUCUCCCCAGUGGGCGAAGUUCACAGCCCCAAACGCCUGGUGCCCCAUAGCGGGCUCCACGCCACCUGCCGCUCUGGCCCAGCAGCCACCGCGAGCCACCGCCGCCAUCUUGACCCGGCGUGCCAAUGCCGACGCAUGCGCACUCUUAAUAGCAUCCUUUAGUAUUAUGCGUAGAGAAAUGUAUAAUCUUAUUCUUUGCACUCUCUUUCGUCUUCCCAUUUUGAGAUGCAUUUUUUUCCUGCUUUUUCAGAACAUACAAUGUUUAUGUAUUAUUCUUAUACCCAUAAUUCCAGCCUUAUUUUAGCCUGGGCUCUGCAAUAUAGGAAAUGCUCACCGUCAGUUCCUUUGCCAAUUUCUCCUAUCGUCUCUUAUUGGGUGAAGCCCAUCGUCUGGUAUGAGAGUGAAAGCGCAGGUGCUCUGGGUGCACACGGGAAGGCAUGGACGCCAUCUCUUGAGAAACCAGAAAGCUACCAAGAGGAAGUCAUGCUGUCUAGUUUGAGAUCCAAAGGAUCAUGUGCCAAAGGAGGAGCUUUAGCCGUGAUGAAGCGUCGGCAUCCCUCCCCCGAGGCUGGGACCACUGGACGCUGAAUGCAUCCAUCUUCCUUCGCGUGUCUCUCACUCAGCAUCUUUUCUAACGUCUACUUCCCACCAGGCUGCAGGCCCGUGUUAACCUUCAGAUUUGGGAAAGAACUGGAUUGGCUGCUGGCGCUGGAAACUUUUCUUCACGAACGCCUUUUAUACGGUUUUGGCAGGCACAUAUAAUACCAGCAGAGAGAGAAAUCCCGCUGGCGAGAGAAAAUAAAACCUU
This 879-nucleotide long non-coding RNA is filed under the name Equus caballus (horse). Its description in RNAcentral is "lncRNA (ENSECAG00000045381.1)". The record is from RNAcentral. Lineage: Eukaryota; Metazoa; Chordata; Mammalia; Perissodactyla; Equidae.